RNAcentral lists this microRNA (21 nucleotides) under Human betaherpesvirus 5. RNAcentral's name for it is "hcmv-miR-UL70-5p". The record is from RNAcentral. Lineage: Duplodnaviria; Heunggongvirae; Peploviricota; Herviviricetes; Herpesvirales; Orthoherpesviridae.
GAUGCCGGUAGAGCGGCCGCG